GAAACAAUAUAUUUGUAGGUUCUAACAUUUCAUCAUCUAUACAUCGACGACUAUUGUCUAACUGGUCCUAGCUCUCCAGCAACUCUAGCCACAUCUAGCCACCAUCUUACCAUCUGAUUUGCAUAUGAGAAACAAAGAAUCAAUUUCUGUGUCCCAAAUCAUAAACCAGGAGUUUACAAUGAAUUGAAGGGCCAGCACUUCUUUUAAUAGAUGGUCCCAAACAGAAACUUGAAAGCAAGAUAACUUGUUAUCUAUUCUGUUAUAUAUAGUGCAAAAUAUGUUCUCUAAUCAAAUCAAGACUAACCAGCUGGUAUCUGACAUGAUUGAACCGACCAAUUAUCACACACAAAUAACCAGAACAUUUCAUCUUAUCUUCUAAAUGAGCAUCUCAUCGUUAUAAAGACUACCAUAUUCCUCGAACAAGUAUUCUUAUAGGUUCACCGAAUAUGUCGAGGUUCCAUGUUCUUGUUUUUAGAUAUAUUUUGGUGACUAGCUGAAUAAACAAGGCCUGUCAGAUUCAACAACCUGAAUAUAUGAUAGGUUUUUGUUAGAAAUACAUCUAGACAAGUACAAGUAAAGAUAUGUACUCUAAACUGAAACACUAAAUAGUUUUUAAACUAUUAAUAUCUCCAAUUUGAUAAAACACUAAACAAUUUUAUUAUGUGUGUGUUAUCUGUAGAGAAAAAUCGAUAGCAUGCCUUACACACAACUAAUUAUUGCACCAAAUUUUAAUGUGCAAGUGACAUGGAGGAACCUUUUGUAAAGCGGUACAAGCAAUUAUUGCACCAAAUUUUAUGUGCCCUUUUCUUUUUUUAAGGCACCGAUAAAGUAGAAGACAAAGAGAUAAAAUGCUUAAUCUAUGGGCCAUGACCGUGCUCGAUACAGAUUCUCUACAAGUGUUUGUCUGAGAAGUUGUACAAAUAGAAGCGGAGUCAGAGUGAAUAAUUCGAAUUUAGUUUUUGCCUUUUAGUUAUAUAAGUAAUAAUGGUGAUGGAAAUAAGUACAUCGACAAGUGUAUCGUUUUUAUCUUUGAUUCAGCUUGUUUUAGCUAUGCAGCUUUAAUUUCAACUCACUAACAUUUAGAUAUUAACUGACAGCAAAUUGGAAAGUCACCGCUCACGAGCACAGCACCGGGAACCCUGGCAGGCGCUCCCCACAGCUUGCAUAAGCAUCUUCACUUUUCAGCUCCAGCAAAUGUCCAUACUUGACGGUUGACACAGCUUCUUCCAGAAUGCCUGCCAUGGGAGCAUUGUUUUGGUCCUCGACGUAUUCUGCUACAGAUGGAGCACACUGCACGCGACGACAUCUCUCACCUGGCACGAGGCGGUGUCAGGGUGAACAGCGAUGGCGAACUGCGCACCUCUUGUGUUUUUCUUUUCUCUGAACACAAUGAAUCCUUGUCCAAAGGAAGAAGCAAAUAGAGCCUAAAUCAAGAUGCCAACGCAGAUGCUCUCCAACACCUCCUCAUCGAAGCUAUUGUGGCUCUCCUGCAGAUCUACCGAACCCUACACGAGAGAGGAGAUGCGAAGGAUGUGGGACACGACAAACUUACGGGCAAGAAAGUUUUGGCUACUGGAGAGGACAGAUGCCGCCAGGGAGAUUGCAGCGCCGCCGCUUACGUCGCCUAGCACUCGGGUCUCGUCUCCGCACUUGCUGCGGGCCUGAGACUGACGAGGAAAAAUUCCACGAGUCAGGAGUCGUGGGUCGAAUACCAGGCCACGGUGAAGGGAUUUCACUGGGAUUGGACUGGGGUAGAAACCUACGAGGGCUAACCGAACAGAUGUUCCUGCAUGGACCAGGCUUGUUUCCAUGCGAGCUGAUCCACGAGGUUUGCCACCGCAUCCCAGCCGGGAAUGGUGCAACCGAACAAAGUAAGCAAGAAAUGGGCAACAGACACCCGUCCGUACCUUAGUCAGGAGUCUCCAACACAUGCAGAAAAUAUGUUCUUGCCUAACAGGAAGCGUUUCAAGAACAAUGCCACUGCGGUUAAGAGCAAGAAUAGCAUUAUCUGCCUGCACAAACAGGAAUUUAAAUGGUCAAGUUCCGGAAAGGAACAAAUCGUCAGGCACAUAAGCGUCCCAUCCAUUCAAAGAUAUAUCAGGUUUCAUAUCAUUAUAAGGAAAUAAAAAAAAAAGAAGUGGUGCUAGAGGCAGAGAGAUGCAGGUGCCAAAGAGAAGGAUAAACAAAAUUACAGUCAUAGCCAAAGACACAAAUGUUGGGAUCAGUUUUUCCCCCAUACUGAGGAAACCUGAAUUUCAUUACUCAGGAUCAACAAAAUUACAGUCAUGGCCAACUUGUUAACAAGUUCAUACAUCCGCAACGCCAGUUAUAAAAAAUAUGUACAUAUAUAAACAUCUGAUGCAAAUCAACCUAAAGCCUAGAGUGCCAAAGACCAACCAGCACACACAUAAGCAUGAGCACCCACCAGAGAGGUUUACAGAGUACUAGACACAACUUACAAAGGAGUUAAACAGUCGUAAGAAAAAUGAUAGGAUCUUUGUUGUAUUCAGGAUAUAGACGAAUAAAAAUCAUAUGACCUCAACCAGACUGAAUAUCAGGAACCUUAUAACACACCUGUCCACAGAUUGAAAAAUCUUCAGCAAGUUUCUGUUCAGUUACCUGCAAACCGAGGGGGUCAACAGAUCAAAGAAAAAAUAAAAAUAAAUAUAACCAAACACGAUAGCUUAUUCUCAAGAAUACAUGCUGAUGUUUCAAAAAAAAAUACAUGCCGCACACUAUCCUCUCUGUCAGCUCGACGAGACCAGUCACCCAUCAAUCUUCUCCUCGCCUCCCUGUAAAGAACCUUCUCCUCGCCGGGAUGAAACUAUUCCUUCGAUGUAAUCACGAACCAAAUGCAGCUGAAUAUUCUCAAGACAGUACUCCAAUUGUAUACCCAAUUCAUAGCACUGGCUAACGAUAUGCUGGGAGAACAUAACUGAGAAAGAAACCAUAACGAAAAUCUAAUGACAGAUAAUUCAUUUGCAUGGUACGGAUCAGGAAGUAAUCAGUUGGUAAGAAUCUUCUAGACAUCCCCUGUCAUAGUGUAUCAAUAUCAAUCGAUCCUGGCAGAUGGAUUGAAUUUUAUAUUGCGGCCAAUGUAGACCUAAAACCCUCACAAAACAUUAGCCCCCCGACUCGGCAAUUCAACAAAUACCCGUCAUUCGGCUGCCCAUUGAUGGAUCCGUCGCUGCUCGAGUCCCUCCU
RNAcentral lists this long non-coding RNA (3204 nucleotides) under Zea mays. RNAcentral describes it as "long non-coding RNA (ZMAY_LNC003907)". The record is from RNAcentral. Lineage: Eukaryota; Viridiplantae; Streptophyta; Magnoliopsida; Poales; Poaceae.